This 254-nucleotide ribosomal RNA is filed under the name uncultured bacterium. RNAcentral describes it as "partial 16S ribosomal RNA". It matches the Rfam family "Bacterial small subunit ribosomal RNA", at positions 524 to 776 of the family's 1533-position model. The record is from RNAcentral.
UACGUAGGGUGCGAGCGUUGUCCGGAAUUAUUGGGCGUAAAAGAGCUCGUAGGCGGUCUGUCGCGUCUGCUGUGAAAACCCGAGGCUCAACCUCGGGCCUGCAGUGGGUACGGGCAGACUAGAGUGCGGUAGGGGAGAAUGGAAUUCCUGGUGUAGCGGUGGAAUGCGCAGAUAUCAGGAGGAACACCGAUGGCGAAGGCAGUUCUCUGGGCCGUAACUGACGCUGAGGAGCGAAAGCGUGGGGAGCGAACAGG